This 497-nucleotide ribosomal RNA is filed under the name uncultured bacterium. Its description in RNAcentral is "partial 16S ribosomal RNA". It matches the Rfam family "Bacterial small subunit ribosomal RNA", at positions 28 to 507 of the family's 1533-position model. The record is from RNAcentral.
GACGAACGCUGGCGGCGUGCCUAAUACAUGCAAGUCGAGCGCUGAAGGCUGGUACUUGUGCCAACUGGAUGAGCAGCGCACGGGUGAGUAACGCGUGUGGCAUCUGCCUUUGAGCGGGGGACAACCUGUGGAAACGAAUGCUAAUACCGCAUAAACACCUGAAACAUAAGUUUGAUGGGUGAAAGAUGCAGUUGCAUCACUCACAGACGAUUUAGCGUUGUGUUAGCUAGGUGGUGAGGUAAAAGAGCACGAAGGUGAGGAAAGAUUGCCGACCUGAGAUGGUGAGCAGCCACAUUGGGAGUGUGACACGGCCCAAAGGCCUACGGGAGGCAGCCAGAGGGGAACGUCGGCAAGGAGCGGAAGACUGACCGAACAGCGCCGCGGGAGGAAAGAGGGAUUUCGGGUCGUAAAACACUGUUGGUAGGGAAGAACGUUGGUGAGAGUGGAAAGCUCAGUAAGUGACGGUAACUAGUAAGAAAGCAACGGCUAACUACGUG